CGGAUUCUGGCUCAGGAUGAACGCUAGCGGCAGGCUUAACACAUGCAAGUCGAGGGGCAUCGGGAGUAGCAAUACUGCCGGCGACCGGCGCAAGGGUGCGUAACGCGUGAGCAACAUGCCCGUAUCAGGGGGGAUAAUCCAUGGAAACGUGGUCUAAUACCCCAUAGUAAUUAUGUAAGGCAUCUUAUAUAAUUUAAAGCUUUGGUGGAUACGGAUUGGCUCGCGUGACAUUAGCUGGAUGGUAAGGUAACGGCUUACCAUGGCUACGAUGUCUAGGGGUUCUGAGAGGAAGGUCCCCCACACUGGAACUGAGACACGGUCCAGACUCCUACGGGAGGCAGCAGUGAGGAAUAUUGGACAAUGGAUGGAAAUCUGAUCCAGCCAUGCCGCGUGCAAGGAAGACGGCCCUAUGGGUUGUAAACUGCUUUUGUAUGGGAGCAAUAAGGGCUACGUGUAGUCCGAUGAGAGUACCAUACGAAUAAGCACCGGCUAACUCCGUGCCAGCCGCCGC
This 511-nucleotide ribosomal RNA is filed under the name uncultured bacterium. Its description in RNAcentral is "bacterial SSU rRNA". It matches the Rfam family "Bacterial small subunit ribosomal RNA", at positions 13 to 518 of the family's 1533-position model. The record is from RNAcentral.